AGAACAUGAUGAUGAUGAUGUUGUUGUUGAUGAAGAUGCAUCAUCUACCAACUCCAAAGAAGAUGUCGAUCGGUCGGAAACCGAUAUGGAUGAUGUGGUGUCGUACGCAUACCCAUUAUCGUCAUCAUCACCAUCAUCAUCAUGUCCU
This 148-nucleotide microRNA precursor is filed under the name Prunus dulcis (almond). RNAcentral's name for it is "sRNA ncRNA". The record is from RNAcentral. Lineage: Eukaryota; Viridiplantae; Streptophyta; Magnoliopsida; Rosales; Rosaceae.